Long non-coding RNA from Helianthus annuus (common sunflower), 326 nucleotides. RefSeq lists it as uncharacterized. The record is from RefSeq and is a predicted model, not a curated record. Lineage: Eukaryota; Viridiplantae; Streptophyta; Magnoliopsida; Asterales; Asteraceae. The transcript is spliced from 3 exons.
CGUACAGAAGAAGAGCAGGGGCGACUCCCCACUCUCAAACCCUAAAAACUCACUAAACUUGCAAAUUGAAGGCUCAAUCCAAGUCAAAAUCGAAAUUAAAGUGUAGAUUAUUGAUCCUCAUCACAAGAGGAUUACAAGUUGGCGCUUAAACAAGCCAGGUGAAGCUUGGAGUGAAAGCGGGUCAAACGAGUCAAGCAUAGAAGAAAAGCAUAGCUCGGAUGCAAGGUGAAUGUCGAGAGUGCACGGAUGGAGAUCAAGCGUCGAGCAAGAACCGAACACGAAUACGAAAUAAGCUUCCGCGCUAUGUAUCGUUAUUAUGUUAAACG